UACGGAGGGUGCAAGCGUUGUCCGGAUUUAUUGGGUUUAAAGGGUGCGUAGGCGGCCCGUUAAGUCAGUGGUGAAAGCCUCCAGCUCAACUGGAGAACUGCCAUUGAUACUGACGGGCUUGAGUACAGACGAGGUUGGCGGAAUUGAUUGUGUAGCGGUGAAAUGCAUAGAUACAAUCAAGAACUCCGAUUGCGUAGGCAGCUAACUAGGCUGUAGCUGACGCUGAGGCACGAAAGCGUGGGGAGCGAACAGG
This 253-nucleotide ribosomal RNA is filed under the name uncultured bacterium. RNAcentral describes it as "partial 16S ribosomal RNA". It matches the Rfam family "Bacterial small subunit ribosomal RNA", at positions 524 to 776 of the family's 1533-position model. The record is from RNAcentral.